This 88-nucleotide transfer RNA is filed under the name Cutibacterium acnes HL087PA2. RNAcentral describes it as "tRNA-Ser". It matches the Rfam family "tRNA". From Rfam's summary of the family: Transfer RNA (tRNA) molecules are approximately 80 nucleotides in length. Their secondary structure includes four short double-helical elements and three loops (D, anti-codon, and T loops). Lineage: Bacteria; Bacillati; Actinomycetota; Actinomycetes; Propionibacteriales; Propionibacteriaceae. The record is from RNAcentral.
GGUGACGUGUCUGAGCGGCCGAAAGUGCCCGCCUCGAAAGCGGGUGUAGCGAAAGCUACCGAGGGUUCAAAUCCCUCCGUCACCGCCA